AAGUGGCUUAAGAGUAAUGCAAAGCUUUGGAUCCUGGAGUUUUUAAAUCUCCAAACAGUGAGAUUCAAACUCAAAUUUCAAUUGAAAUUUCUCAGGUUUUCCUUUGAAUUAAGAGGGGUUGGAAGGUUGGGGGUAAAGCUAGCGCGCAAGGUCCUUUGAACUGAGGCAUUAGACCUCUAUUUAUAACAAUGGGAAGUGUUAUUU
RNAcentral lists this long non-coding RNA (204 nucleotides) under Lathyrus oleraceus (garden pea). Its description in RNAcentral is "Pisum sativum (pea) long non-coding RNA (PSAT_LNC037329)". Lineage: Eukaryota; Viridiplantae; Streptophyta; Magnoliopsida; Fabales; Fabaceae. The record is from RNAcentral.